Molecule: long non-coding RNA, 1121 nt
Filed under: Apteryx rowi (Okarito brown kiwi)
Lineage: Eukaryota; Metazoa; Chordata; Aves; Apterygiformes; Apterygidae
Description: lncRNA (ENSARWG00000018526.1)
Source: RNAcentral
ACGCCUUCGGGUCUUCGGUGCGCCCUGCUCCCAACCCCAGCCCUGCCCCGUYGCCUCCGUGCCUCGGUUUCCCCCCGAGCGAGGGGGGCAGGAGGGUAACGGGGGCAYGACAUGACGCUCGUCCAUUAAAGGCUGGUCCAGAAAGCAACUGGAAGCAUUUUUAUUUUUUAUUUUUUUACAAAAAAAAUUUUUUUUUUUCUUUACAAUAAAAAUAAUACUUGGAAGACAGCUGAGAAAAAGCUCCAACAAGACAGAAAGUCACUGAUACAGCAUAUUCCCCGCCUCGCCGGCCGGCCCCAAACCUGCCCCCYGCGGCCACAGCUCCGCCGAGGACCAAGUUACACCCGCCACCUACCCAAAGUUUCCCUAAUUUGGGGCUCUAAAACGCGGUUUUCCCCUCGGCAGCGGCGGGGCGUCACAGUAUCCAGGCUGGAGAGGGAGAGCAGCCUCCGAUUAGUGCCCAAGAGAGGUUCCUAUAUACAAACAUAUACACGCGCCAGGCCACGCCGCCGCCGGAUUCGGCAGCCGGGGUUACCCGCCGUCGGGGCCCGAAGAGCUCAGAAAGGUUUUAAAAGACUCACGUGUCAGGAGGAAAAGUCAAACGUUCGGGAUCUGGUUGGAAGCAAGUUAAAAAAAGGAAAAAAAAAAAAUACCCCCAAGCCAUACAAAACACCCUGCACCAGUUUCUCCGUUAAAAAAAAAAACAACCGAACCACCCCAAAAAGCGAGACAGCCACGAGCGUAAGGACGAUUUCAUCCCGUUAAGUCCGUACCGCAAAAGCCCUCGGGAAAAGCAGCCGUAGGAAAUCUCCUGCCCCGUUUGCAAACCCGUUACAAAACRACCCUGAUGCAAAAUAUUCCUGGGCGAGGUAACCCUCGUUCGCUCCUCCGCCUUAAGUGCUAUUCGGGGGACGAGGCGCCGUAAGGGGGGGCGCGAGCCCGAGGAGCGGCGCCGGCUUUCCCGCACGCGCCCGGCACGUCCCAUCCCGCCUUUUCCCGCAGCCCAGAGCUCCGGCCGCGCGCGCGUCUGCAGUCGGCUGCUUAUCCCAAAGUCAUUUACACUUUCCUUUUUCUCCCCCCUACUCAUCAUUUAAAAAAAAUAAAAAAAAUAAAAAAAAUCA